CCUACGGGAGGCAGCAGUAGGGAAUAUUGCUCAAUGGCGGAAACCCUGAAGCAGCAACGCCGCGUGGGGGAUGAAGGUUUUCGGAUUGUAAACUCCUUUUGUUAGAGAAGAUAAUGACGGUAUCUAACGAAUAAGCACCGGCUAACUCCGUGCCAGCAGCCGCGGUAAUACGGAGGGUGCAAGCGUUACUCGGAAUCACUGGGCGUAAAGAGCGCGUAGGCGGGAUAGCAAGUCAGAUGUGAAAUCCUAUGGCUUAACCAUAGAACUGCAUUUGAAACUGUUAUUCUAGAGUAUGGGAGAGGUAGGUGGAAUGCUUGGUGUAGGGGUAAAAUGCGUAGAGAUCAAGAGGAAUACUGAUUGCGAAGGCGACCUGCUAGAACAUAACUGACGCUGAUGCGCGAAAGCGUGGGGAGCAAACAGGAUUAGAUACCCUUGUAGUC
This 440-nucleotide ribosomal RNA is filed under the name uncultured bacterium. RNAcentral's name for it is "partial 16S ribosomal RNA". It matches the Rfam family "Bacterial small subunit ribosomal RNA", at positions 338 to 795 of the family's 1533-position model. The record is from RNAcentral.